AGCGAACGCUGGCGGCAGGCCUAACGCAUGCAAGUCGAACGAACCUUUCGGGGUUAGUGGCGGACGGGUGAGUAACACGUGGGAACGUGCCUUUAGGUUCGGAAUAACUCAGGGAAACUUGUGCUAAUACCGAAUGUGCCCUUCGGGGGAAAGAUCUAUCGCCUUUAGAGCGGCCCGCGUCUGAUUAGCUAGUUGGUUGAGGUAAUGGCUCACCAAGGCGACGAUCAGUAGCUGGUCUGAGAGGAUGAUCAGCCACAUUGGGACUGAGACACGGCCCAAACUCCUACGGGAGGCAGCAGUGGGGAAUCUUGCGCAAUGGGCGAAAGCCUGACGCAGCCAUGCCGCGUGAAUGAUGAAGGUCUUAGGAUUGUAAAAUUCUUUCACCGGGGACGAUAAUGACGGUACCCGGAGAAGAAGCCCCGGCUAACUUCGU
RNAcentral lists this ribosomal RNA (433 nucleotides) under uncultured bacterium. RNAcentral's name for it is "partial 16S ribosomal RNA". It matches the Rfam family "Bacterial small subunit ribosomal RNA", at positions 29 to 506 of the family's 1533-position model. The record is from RNAcentral.